RNAcentral lists this ribosomal RNA (305 nucleotides) under uncultured bacterium. Its description in RNAcentral is "partial 16S ribosomal RNA". It matches the Rfam family "Bacterial small subunit ribosomal RNA", at positions 508 to 809 of the family's 1533-position model. The record is from RNAcentral.
ACAGCAGUAGCCGCGGUAAUACGAAGGGUGCAAGCGUUACUCGGAAUUACUGGGCGUAAAGCGUGCGUAGGUGGUGGUUUAAGUCCGUUGUGAAAGCCCUGGGCUCAACCUGGGAAUUGCAGUGGAUACUGGGUCACUAGAGUGUGGUAGAGGAUAGUGGAAUUUCCGGUGUAGCAGUGAAAUGCGUAGAGAUCGGAAGGAACAUCUGUGGCGAAGGCGACUAUCUGGGCCAACACUGACACUGAGGCACGAAAGCGUGGGGAGCAAACAGGAUUAGAUACCCCAGUAGUCCCUGUCUCUUAUAA